RNAcentral lists this transfer RNA (76 nucleotides) under Rhodospirillaceae bacterium. Its description in RNAcentral is "tRNA-Ile". It matches the Rfam family "tRNA". From Rfam's summary of the family: Transfer RNA (tRNA) molecules are approximately 80 nucleotides in length. Their secondary structure includes four short double-helical elements and three loops (D, anti-codon, and T loops). Further hydrogen bonds mediate the characteristic L-shaped molecular structure. tRNAs have two regions of fundamental functional importance: the anti-codon, which is responsible for specific mRNA codon recognition, and the 3' end, to which the tRNAs corresponding amino acid is attached (by aminoacyl-tRNA synthetases). tRNAs cope with the degeneracy of the genetic code in two manners: having more than one tRNA (with a specific anti-codon) for a particular amino acid; and 'wobble' base-pairing, i.e. permitting non-standard base-pairing at the 3rd anti-codon position. Lineage: Bacteria; Pseudomonadati; Pseudomonadota; Alphaproteobacteria; Rhodospirillales; Rhodospirillaceae. The record is from RNAcentral.
GGACCGGUAGCUCAGCAGGCAGAGCGCGCGACCGAUAAUCGCGAGGGCGACCGUUCGAAUCGGUCUCGGUCCACCA